RNAcentral lists this unclassified non-coding RNA (353 nucleotides) under Hevea brasiliensis (rubber tree). Lineage: Eukaryota; Viridiplantae; Streptophyta; Magnoliopsida; Malpighiales; Euphorbiaceae. The record is from RNAcentral.
GGCUCCUUUAAAGACCUAUGAUCCUGCACACUUAAAUAACACAAGUUAUGAAAACACUACAAAUCAAAGUUUCAGCUUGUUUAAUGAUUAAUUGAUGCAUCACGAUAAAAGAAUGUAAAAACUGCCCCAUUAACGUAUUAUCAAGCAUGAACCUUGCCUCAAGACUUCAACUUAAAAUUUAGCACUUGGUGCAGUAAAGCAGUAAGAAAGUAGAAAUAUUCAAACUUAGUAAAAAUACAGAAAGAGGUUCAAAAUGUGCCCAUUAAAAUUUGUUCACGCACACAAAAGAAUAUUAAACGAAGAAUCCGACUUCAACCCCAAAUAGCAUACCAAGUACUGUAACUGAAAGUUUG